GUGUCUGACGGACAGUUUGACUGGGGCGGUCGCCUCCUAAAGAGUAACGGAGGCGCUCAAAGGUUGGCUCAGAUUGGUUGGAAAUCAAUCGUAGAGUGUAAAGGUAAAAGCCAGCUUGACUGCGAGAGCUACAACUCGAGCAGGUAGGAAACUAGGACUUAGUGAUCCGGUGGUACCGCAUGGAAGGGCCAUCGCUCAACGGAUAAAAGCUACCCUGGGGAUAACAGGCUUAUCUCCCCCAAGAGUUCACAUCGACGGGGAGG
Molecule: ribosomal RNA, 263 nt
Filed under: Klebsiella pneumoniae
Lineage: Bacteria; Pseudomonadati; Pseudomonadota; Gammaproteobacteria; Enterobacterales; Enterobacteriaceae
Description: partial 23S ribosomal RNA
Rfam family: Bacterial large subunit ribosomal RNA
Source: RNAcentral